Cornus florida is the source of this 1301-nucleotide long non-coding RNA. RefSeq lists it as uncharacterized. The record is from RefSeq and is a predicted model, not a curated record. The transcript is spliced from 2 exons. Lineage: Eukaryota; Viridiplantae; Streptophyta; Magnoliopsida; Cornales; Cornaceae.
UAAGUGUAGAAACACUCCAAGUGGUUUAAUAACUCAAUUUAGUUAGGCUUCAAACUUCAACAAGUCAUUUUGUUAUUGACAUAAUCUCCAAGCAUCCCCUUCUGACGUGAACGCUCAAUGCUUAAUGAGGCGAGGUCCAGUUACUUGGUGAAUGAUUUCAAGAGAAUGCAACAAAAUUAUUGAUGAUUUUUUAUUAUCAUUAUUUUAUUUUAUUUUAUUUUUAUAUUUAUUUUUUUUAUCAAAAGCUAUCCAUUCAUUAGGUUCAUCAACUCAAACCAACCAUUUACAAAAUGCCAAAAAGGUCGGGGUACAUGCAACUUUUUAACGGGGAAUUGAAGCUCAACUUUCUAAUUGGUGUCAUAGGCCAUACUUUGAAUGUAUUUAACAUUUCUGAAAUGAAUUCCGGGAGCGACUCAUAUAAUGCACAUCUAGAAUCAGCAGCAAGUAGCAAUUCAGUGACAUUCAUCAGACGAACAGAGGACCACCGAUGAGGCGAAGCAGAGUUUGGAAAUGGUUGUUCUGUGAUUGGUUGAUUCGGCACACUUAUGAAUCGAUGCCAUUUCAGACCACGAUGAAGGCAAAUGUGUAGAACCCACGACGUGUUUGAAUAAAUGACCAAAUGGGACGAAUGAAGGAGCACUGGAAGAAAAGAUGGUCGGGUGGUUCCGGCAUAUCAGAGCAGAGUUUACACAGGUUAGGUGAUCUUCUGAGUCACUGCUUUCCUAUCAAGAUAUGCAUAAUUGCCUAUAUAGAUAACAUAGUCUUAAGAACUUGACAUCAAAGUCCUAAAUUUUGGCAUAAUUCUAUAAUUUUAUGAUUCAGUUGUUUUCUUGGGGCUAUCUUAUUACAUCAACGGGUUAUUUCUAUUAGUUCCUUAGGUUUUAACACUAUAUUUAUAUAUUUUUUUUUCUCCUACCAGUAUUUAUAUACGUAUGGCACUAAGUAAAUAGCAAUACUAAUGAUAUUGAGAGUUCGUAAUCUACAUGCUACUGGCCUAAUUACUUAUCAAAAGCGAAUAUGCAGCUGCUCUAACAUUAGGUUAUUCUACAUGCUAUGUGUUUCAUCAAGUAGCUUUUUUUCAACUAAUAACAUAUUGUGGUGUAAGGUGAUAACGUACUAUGUGCAUUUCUAUAUACACUACAAGAAAAACAGUUUUUUACCACGGUGAAAAAUACUUUCUACCACGGUUUUAAACCACAAUGAAAACGGUCGUGGUAAUAAGUAGAACCAUGGUAGAAAGAAAACUUUCGACCACGGUUUAGAACCGUGGUAGAAAGUGUUAUAUAAUUUUUUUUUUUAAA